UCGAGAAUCUUCCGCAAUGGGCGAAAGCCUGACGGAGCGACGCCGCGUGUAGGAUGAAGGCCCUCGGGUUGUAAACUACUGUCACGGGUUAUGAAUGUACAUAUGUAAACAGCGUGUGUAUUGACGUAAGCCCGAAAGGAAGCACCGGCUAACUCUGUGCCAGCAGCCGCGGUAAUACGAAGGGUGCAAACGUUGCUCGGAAUUAUUGGGCGUAAAGCGCACGUAGGCGGCUCUGUAAGUUGGAUGUGAAAUCCCUCGGCGCAACCAAGGAAGUGCAUCCAAAACUACAAAGCUUGAGUACUUAAGAGGAUCGCGGAAUUCCCGGUGUAGAGGUGAAAUUCGUAGAUAUCGGGAGGAACACCAGUGGCGAAGGCGGCGAUCUGGGAAGAUACUGACGCUGAGGUGCGAAAGCGUGGGGAGCAAACGGGAUUAGAUACCCAAGUAGUCCCUGAGCGGGCUGGCAAGGCGCAU
RNAcentral lists this ribosomal RNA (471 nucleotides) under uncultured bacterium. Its description in RNAcentral is "bacterial SSU rRNA". It matches the Rfam family "Bacterial small subunit ribosomal RNA", at positions 355 to 825 of the family's 1533-position model. The record is from RNAcentral.